AUUGAACGCUGGCGGCAGGCCUAACACAUGCAAGUCGAGCGGAUGAAGGGAGCUUGCUCCUGGAUUCAGUGGCGGACGGGUGAGUAAUGCCUAGGAAUCUGCCUGGUAGUGGGGGAUAACGUCCGGAAACGGGCGCUAAUACCGCAUACGUCCUGAGGGAGAAAGUGGGGGAUCUUCGGGCCUCACGCUAUCAGAUGAGCCUAGGUCGGAUUAGCUAGUUGGUGGGGUAAAGGCCUACCAAGGCGACGAUCCGUAACUGGUCUGAGAGGAUGAUCAGUCACACUGGAACUGAGACACGGUCCAGACUCCUACGGGAGGCAGCAGUGGGGAAUAUUGGACAAUGGGCGAAAGCCUGAUCCAGCCAUGCCGCGUGUGUGAAGAAGGUCUUCGGAUUGUAAAGCACUUUAAGUUGGGAGGAAGGGCAGUAAGUUAAUACCUUGCUGUUUUGACGUUACCAACAGAAUAAGCACCGGCUAACUUCGUG
RNAcentral lists this ribosomal RNA (484 nucleotides) under uncultured bacterium. RNAcentral describes it as "partial 16S ribosomal RNA". It matches the Rfam family "Bacterial small subunit ribosomal RNA", at positions 30 to 507 of the family's 1533-position model. The record is from RNAcentral.